UACGGGGGGGGCAAGCGUUGUUCGGAAUUACUGGGCGUAAAGCGCACGUAGGCGGAUUGUUAAGUCGGGGGUGAAAUCCUGGAGCUCAACUCCAGAACUGCCUUCGAUACUGGCGAUCUAGAGUCCGGGAGAGGUGAGUGGAACUGCGAGUGUAGAGGUGAAAUUCGUAGAUAUUCGCAAGAACACCAGUGGCGAAGGCGGCUCACUGGCCCGGUACUGACGCUGAGGUGCGAAAGCGUGGGGAGCAAACAGG
Molecule: ribosomal RNA, 253 nt
Filed under: uncultured bacterium
Lineage: Bacteria
Description: partial 16S ribosomal RNA
Rfam family: Bacterial small subunit ribosomal RNA
Source: RNAcentral